This 497-nucleotide ribosomal RNA is filed under the name uncultured bacterium. RNAcentral describes it as "partial 16S ribosomal RNA". It matches the Rfam family "Bacterial small subunit ribosomal RNA", at positions 28 to 507 of the family's 1533-position model. The record is from RNAcentral.
GAUGAACGCUGGCGGCGUGCCUAAUACAUGCAAGUCGAGCGAACAGACGAGGAGCUUGCUCCUCUGACGUUAGCGGCGGACGGGUGAGUAACACGUGGAUAACCUACCUAUAAGACUGGGAUAACUUCGGGAAACCGGAUCUAAUACCGGAUAAUAUAUUGAACCGCAUGGUUCAAUAGUGAAAGACGGUUUUGCUGUCACUUAUAGAUGGUUCCGCGCCGCAUUAGCUAGUUGGUAAGGUAACGGCUUACCAAGGCAACGAUGCGUAGCCGACCUGAGAGGGUGAUCGGCCACACUGGAACUGAGACACGGUCCAGACUCCUACGGGAGGCAGCAGUAGGGAAUCUUCCGCAAUGGGCGAAAGCCUGACGGAGCAACGCCGCGUGAGUGAUGAAGGUCUUCGGAUCGUAAAACUCUGUUAUUAGGGAAGAACAAAUGUGUAAGUAACUAUGCACGUCUUGACGGUACCUAAUGAGAAAGCCACGGCUAACUACGUG